CCCAGCUUUCACUGGUCUUAAGGCAGCCAGUGCUACCACAGCCAAAGUUAAUGCCAGUCCCAAGGUCACGGCUUCUCUAGUCCCAAGGCUCGCUAUCAAGGCUUCAAUGAAGGACGUGGGUGUUGCAGUUGUGGCCACUGCAGCAAGUGCAAUUCUCGCCAGCAAUGCCAUGGCCAUUGAGGUAUUGCUCGGAGGUGAUGAUGGGUCACUGGCCUUUGUUCCCAGCAACUUCUCUGUGGCUGCCGGAGAAAAGAUUGUGUUCAAGAACAACCAAGGCUUCCCACACAACGUUGUGUUCGAGGAGGAUGAAAUUCCAAGUGGGGUUGAUG
Molecule: unclassified non-coding RNA, 329 nt
Filed under: Hevea brasiliensis (rubber tree)
Lineage: Eukaryota; Viridiplantae; Streptophyta; Magnoliopsida; Malpighiales; Euphorbiaceae
Source: RNAcentral